This 321-nucleotide non-coding RNA is filed under the name Chlamydomonas asymmetrica. The record is from RNAcentral. Lineage: Eukaryota; Viridiplantae; Chlorophyta; Chlorophyceae; Chlamydomonadales; Chlamydomonadaceae.
CGCACCCCUUGCUUGCAGUCACCUUGCUGUCCACCACGACAAGGCUGUGAGGCUCACAACCUCGUAACCCUAAAUCUAGGACUUCAGCUGCGCUUCUGUGCAGCCACACUCACGAGGCUUGCCCAACCUUUCCCUCGUCCAACGCCCCUGCCCACUCUCAAGAAGCGUCUGUGUGGCACAGGUGACUUCAAAUCCGGGAUGACCAGAGCUGAGGUGUUGCAGGAGCAAAGCGGGGCUUGCUGGAAGCAGGCUCUGUCCUCAAUGGCUUGGCCAUGCGCUCCUGCACGAAUCCGGGCCUGAUCAAGGGGGUGCUGCAUAUUG